Molecule: ribosomal RNA, 846 nt
Filed under: uncultured bacterium
Lineage: Bacteria
Description: bacterial SSU rRNA
Rfam family: Bacterial small subunit ribosomal RNA
Source: RNAcentral
GAACGCUAGCUACAGGCUUAACACAUGCAAGUCGCGGGGCAGCAUGUCGGUUGCUUGCAACCGAUGAUGGCGACCGGCGCACGGGUGAGUAACACGUAUCCAACCUGCCCUUCACCACGGAAUAAUCCAGUGAAAAUUGGUCUAAUACCGUAUGAGGUCAUACGAUGGCAUCAGAAUAUGACGAAAGGUUUGGCGGUGAAGGAUGGGGAUGCGUCUGAUUAGCUUGUUGGUGAGGUAACGGCUCACCAAGGCGACGAUCAGUAGGGGUUCUGAGAGGAAGGUCCCCCACAUUGGAACUGAGACACGGUCCAAACUCCUACGGGAGGCAGCAGUGAGGAAUAUUGGUCAAUGGGCGAGAGCCUGAACCAGCCAAGUAGCGUGCAGGAAGACGGCCCUAUGGGUUGUAAACUGCUUUUAUAUGGGGAUAAAGUGAGUUACGUGUAGCUUAUUGCAGGUACCAUAUGAAUAAGGACCGGCUAAUUCCGUGCCAGCAGCCGCGGUAAUACGGAAGGUCCAGGCGUUAUCCGGAUUUAUUGGGUUUAAAGGGAGCGUAGGCCGCCCCUUAAGCGUGUUGUGAAAUGCCGCGGCUCAACCGUGGCACUGCAGCGCGAACUGGGGGGCUUGAGUGCACGCAACGCAGGCGGAAUUCGUGGUGUAGCGGUGAAAUGCUUAGAUAUCACGAAGAACUCCGAUUGCGAAGGCAGCUUGCGGGAGUGCGACUGACGCUGAAGCUCGAAGGUGCGGGGUAUCGAACAGGAUUAGAUACCCUGGUAGUCCGCACAGUAAACGAUGGAUGCCCGCUGUGUGUCUUAAUGGUACGCGGCCAAGCGAAAGCGUUAAGCAUCU